This 480-nucleotide ribosomal RNA is filed under the name uncultured bacterium. RNAcentral's name for it is "partial 16S ribosomal RNA". It matches the Rfam family "Bacterial small subunit ribosomal RNA", at positions 28 to 507 of the family's 1533-position model. The record is from RNAcentral.
GAUGAACGCUAGCGGCAGGCUUAACACAUGCAAGUCGAGGGGUAGAAGGAGCUUGCUCCUUUGAGACCGGCGCACGGGUGCGUAACGCGUAUGCAAACUACCUUGUACAGGGGAAUAGCCCAGAGAAAUUUGGAUUAAUGCCCCAUAGUAUAUAACCUUCGCAUGGUGGUUAUAUUAAAGUUCCAACGGUACAAGAUGAGCAUGCGGCCCAUUAGUUAGUUGGUAAGGUAACGGCUUACCAAGACGAUGAUGGGUAGGGGUCCUGAGAGGGAGAGCCCCCACAGUGGUACUGAGACACGGACCAGACGCCUACGGGAGGCAGCAGUGAGGAAUAUUGGGCAAUGGACGCAAGACUGAACCAGCCAUGCCGCGUGCAGGAAGACGGUCCUAUGGAUAGUAAACUGCUUUUAUACAGGAAGAAACCCUCCCACGUGUGGGAGCUUGACGGUACUGGAGGAAUAAGGAUCGGCUAACUACGUG